AAAUUGAAGAGUUUGAUCAUGGCUCAGAUUGAACGCUGGCGGCAGGCCUAACACAUGCAAGUCGAACGGUAACAGGAAGCAGCUUGCUGCUUCGCUGACGAGUGGCGGACGGGUGAGUAAUGUCUGGGAAACUGCCUGAUGGAGGGGGAUAACUACUGGAAACGGUAGCUAAUACCGCAUAACGUCGCAAGACCAAAGAGGGGGACCUUCGGGCCUCUUGCCAUCGGAUGUGCCCAGAUGGGAUUAGCUAGUAGGUGGGGUAACGGCUCACCUAGGCGACGAUCCCUAGCUGGUCUGAGAGGAUGACCAGCCACACUGGAACUGAGACACGGUCCAGACUCCUACGGGAGGCAGCAGUGGGGAAUAUUGCACAAUGGGCGCAAGCCUGAUGCAGCCAUGCCGCGUGUAUGAAGAAGGCCUUCGGGUUGUAAAGUACUUUCAGCGGGGAGGAAGGGAGUAAAGUUAAUACCUUUGCUCAUUGACGUUACCCGCAGAAGAAGCACCGGCUAACUCCGUGCCAGCAGCCGCGGUAAUACGGAGGGUGCAAGCGU
Molecule: ribosomal RNA, 551 nt
Filed under: Escherichia coli
Lineage: Bacteria; Pseudomonadati; Pseudomonadota; Gammaproteobacteria; Enterobacterales; Enterobacteriaceae
Also listed under: 1 other name
Description: bacterial SSU rRNA
Rfam family: Bacterial small subunit ribosomal RNA
Source: RNAcentral